AUGUCCACACCUGUUCCAUCCAAAACAUAUAAGUGUAGUCCAUGAUAAGUGAUGAAUUAACCACUGAAUUAUCGUACAAUUAACUUUCACUUGACUACUAGGAUGAAUUUGAUAAUCGAACUUCCAACUAUUUACUAAUGUUUUGCUAUAACCUUUUGCUUUCCCCCCCUUUUCUUGUUAAAAAAUACUAAGAAAAUAUAUGCAUGUAAAUAACAUUUAUUAUUAGAAACAAGAAAGCCAUACAAUUAUGUAAUUAAUCUAAUAAACUAAGAUUCUUUUAUAUUUUUACUGUAAAUAUUUCCAAUAUCAAUUAUCAAUGAAGGGAUAAUUUUAAAUUCAAUCUACUAUUGUUUUUAACAGUGUACUGUAAUAGACGUAGUAGUUAAAAUUGGGAUUUAAGCAGUUAUGUUCAAUUUCAUGUUGUUAGAAUUAUUGUCUCAAAAGUAUAGAUAAAUUAUGGGAAAACACUGACACAAACUGGGACAACACAUUCGAAAAGUUUCAAAUAAGGACAUCGUGGAAAUGUGCACCGCACAUCGCAUUGCAAAUAUCUCACUGUUAAGCAACAUCCUAUAGGCCUUAGAAAGCAAAAGUGAAACACACAAUGAACAUCUUUCACCUAUAAUCCCGCCUAUUUACCAUCACUCCUUAUGAUUUAAACAAAGUUUAUUUCACCAACCCAUUGAAUUAGACAGCUCAAGAAACCAAUUAGCUCACACUGCCUAAAUGACAAUCUAUAUAAUUCUGUUACUAUUUCUCCCUCUGUUUCUCCAUUGUCCAUCUAUCAUAGGGACAAAUUAUGAUAUCAAAUACCUAGAUUUUGAUGGCUACAGGAUUAAUCAAAUACGAACUAAAUAGAACGCAUUUGUAAAUAGUAAAACUUAAACAGAUCUAUCGAUAAACUAAUCACGAUCAGCACGCAAAAUCAUUAACAUCAGCUCAAAUUCAACAACCGAAAUUAGAACGAAGAAA
This 972-nucleotide unclassified non-coding RNA is filed under the name Hevea brasiliensis (rubber tree). The record is from RNAcentral. Lineage: Eukaryota; Viridiplantae; Streptophyta; Magnoliopsida; Malpighiales; Euphorbiaceae.